CGAACGGGUGAGUAACACGUGACCAACCUGCCUCGCACACCGGGAUAACUACUGGAAACGGUAGCUAAUACCGGAUACUAUCCGAACCUCGCAUGAGGAGCGGAUGAAAGCUUUUGCGGUGCGAGAUGGGGUCGCGGCCCAUUAGGUAGACGGCGGGGUAACGGCCCACCGUGCCUGCGAUGGGUAGCCGGACUGAGAGGUCGAUCGGCCACAUUGGGACUGAGAUACGGCCCAG
This 235-nucleotide ribosomal RNA is filed under the name uncultured Actinomycetes bacterium. RNAcentral's name for it is "uncultured actinobacterium partial 16S ribosomal RNA". It matches the Rfam family "Bacterial small subunit ribosomal RNA", at positions 99 to 334 of the family's 1533-position model. The record is from RNAcentral. Lineage: Bacteria; Bacillati; Actinomycetota; Actinomycetes.